RNAcentral lists this small RNA (28 nucleotides) under Bombyx mori (domestic silkworm). RNAcentral describes it as "ovarian small RNA-10398". Lineage: Eukaryota; Metazoa; Arthropoda; Insecta; Lepidoptera; Bombycidae. The record is from RNAcentral.
AACGCGCGCUUGAUGGUAAACACCCGAC